ACAAAAGGAAACAUUCCUUUGAAUGCGCCUGAUCUCAUCUGAUCUUAGAAGCUAAGCAGGGUUGGGCCUGGUUAGUACUUGGCUGGGAGACUGCCUGGGAAUACCGGGUGCUGUAGGCU
Cavia porcellus (domestic guinea pig) is the source of this 119-nucleotide ribosomal RNA. The record is from Rfam. Lineage: Eukaryota; Metazoa; Chordata; Mammalia; Rodentia; Caviidae.